AACUACUAGGGGUGCCUUUUGGCUGAGAUUUUACCCUUAGAACCUGAUCUAGUUAAUGCUAGCGUAGGGAAGUAGUUAUCUA
This 82-nucleotide non-coding RNA is filed under the name uncultured Cetobacterium sp. RNAcentral describes it as "TPP riboswitch (THI element)". It matches the Rfam family "TPP riboswitch aptamer (THI element)". From Rfam's summary of the family: Vitamin B(1) in its active form thiamin pyrophosphate (TPP) is an essential coenzyme that is synthesised by coupling of pyrimidine and thiazole moieties in bacteria. The previously detected thiamin-regulatory element, thi box was extended, resulting in a new, highly conserved RNA secondary structure, the THI element, which is widely distributed in eubacteria and also occurs in some archaea. Analysis of operon structures identified a large number of new candidate thiamin-regulated genes, mostly transporters, in various prokaryotic organisms. Lineage: Bacteria; Fusobacteriati; Fusobacteriota; Fusobacteriia; Fusobacteriales; Fusobacteriaceae. The record is from RNAcentral.